RNAcentral lists this ribosomal RNA (377 nucleotides) under uncultured bacterium. RNAcentral's name for it is "bacterial SSU rRNA". It matches the Rfam family "Bacterial small subunit ribosomal RNA", at positions 521 to 896 of the family's 1533-position model. The record is from RNAcentral.
UAAUACGUAGGGGGCAAGCGUUAUCCGGAUUUACUGGGCGUAAAGCGCGUUAAGGCGGCUCGUUAAGUUGGUUGUGAAAUUUCAGGGCUCAACCCUGAAACUGCGUCCAAUACUGGCGGGCUUGAGUGCGAGAGAGGAAGGUGGAAUUCCCGGUGUAGUAGUGAAAUGCGUAGAUAUCGGGAGGAACACCAGUGGCGAAGGCGGCCUUCUGGCUCGCAACUGACGCUGUAGCGCGAAAGCGUGGGGAGCGAACGGGAUUAGAUACCCCGGUAGUCCACGCUGUAAACGAUGUGUACUAGGUGUUGGGCGUAUUGACGCGCUCAGUGCCGCAGCUAACGCAUUAAGUACACCGCCUGGGGAGUACGGUCGCAAGAUUA